CCUCAGCUCAGUUGGUAAACAAUCUGCCUGCAACGCAGGAGACCCGGGUUCGAUUCCUGGGUUGGGAA
RNAcentral lists this transfer RNA (68 nucleotides) under Bos taurus (domestic cattle). It matches the Rfam family "tRNA". Rfam says of the family: Transfer RNA (tRNA) molecules are approximately 80 nucleotides in length. RNAcentral also lists the same sequence under 2 other names. Lineage: Eukaryota; Metazoa; Chordata; Mammalia; Artiodactyla; Bovidae. The record is from Rfam by way of RNAcentral.